CACGUAGGGUGCGAGCGUUGUCCGGAAUUAUUGGGCGUAAAGAGCUCGUAGGCGGUGUGUCACGUCGGCCGUGAAAACCUGCAGCUUAACUGUGGGCGUGCGGUCGAUACGGGCAUCACUAGAGUUCGGCAGGGGAGACUGGAAUUCCUGGUGUAGCGGUGAAAUGCGCAGAUAUCAGGAGGAACACCGGUGGCGAAGGCGGGUCUCUGGGCCGAUACUGACGCUGAGGAGCGAAAGCAUGGGUAGCGAACAGG
Molecule: ribosomal RNA, 254 nt
Filed under: uncultured bacterium
Lineage: Bacteria
Description: partial 16S ribosomal RNA
Rfam family: Bacterial small subunit ribosomal RNA
Source: RNAcentral